UACGGGGGGGCAAGCGUUGUUCGGAAUUACUGGGCGUAAAGGGCUCGUAGGUGGCCAACUAAGUCAGACGUGAAAUCCCUCGGCUUAACCGGGGAACUGCGUCUGAUACUGGAUGGCUUGAGAUUGGGAGAGGGAUGCGGAAUUCCAGGUGUAGCGGUGAAAUGCGUAGAUAUCUGGAGGAACACCGGUGGCGAAGGCGGCAUCCUGGACCAACACUGACACUGAGGAGCGAAAGCCAGGGGAGCAAACGGG
This 252-nucleotide ribosomal RNA is filed under the name uncultured bacterium. Its description in RNAcentral is "partial 16S ribosomal RNA". It matches the Rfam family "Bacterial small subunit ribosomal RNA", at positions 524 to 776 of the family's 1533-position model. The record is from RNAcentral.